RNAcentral lists this non-coding RNA (407 nucleotides) under Nicotiana sylvestris (wood tobacco). RNAcentral's name for it is "Eukaryotic large subunit ribosomal RNA". It matches the Rfam family "Eukaryotic large subunit ribosomal RNA", at positions 2467 to 2988 of the family's 3401-position model. Lineage: Eukaryota; Viridiplantae; Streptophyta; Magnoliopsida; Solanales; Solanaceae. The record is from Rfam by way of RNAcentral.
AGAUCUGGUUGUAUUUGGCUUUUAAUGUUAUUUUACUUAUUCUGUGAGUAGGAAGGGAGGGGGAGUCACUGCCCCUCUUUUGGGACCCGAGGCUUGCAGGCCGAUCAGGAUGAAAGACAUUGUCAGGUGGGGAGUUUAGCUGGGGCGGCACAUCUAUUAAAAGAUAACACACGUAUUCUAGAUGAGCUCAACGGGAACAGAAAUCUCAUAUGGAACAGAAGGGUAAAAGUUCGUUUGAUUUUGAUUUCAGUAUGAAAACGAACGGUAAAAGCGUGAUCGAACGAUCCUUUAGACCUUCAGAAUUCGAAGCUAGAGAUGUCACAAAAGUUAUCACAGGGAUAACUGGCAUGUAACAACUAAGCAUUCAUAACGACGUUACUUUUAAAAAUAAAAAAUAAAAAAUAGUA